RNAcentral lists this ribosomal RNA (492 nucleotides) under uncultured bacterium. RNAcentral describes it as "partial 16S ribosomal RNA". It matches the Rfam family "Bacterial small subunit ribosomal RNA", at positions 29 to 507 of the family's 1533-position model. The record is from RNAcentral.
AGUGAACGCUGGCGGUAGGCCCAACACAUGCAAGUCGAACGGCAGCACAGUAAGAGCUUGCUCUUACGGGUGGCGAGUGGCGGACGGGUGAGGAAUACAUCGGAAUCUACUUUUUCGUGGGGGAUAACGUAGGGAAACUUAAUACAAUACAGCAUACCAUCUACGGGUGAAAGCGUGGGAUCUUCGGACCUUGCGCGAUUGAAUGAGCCGCUGUCGGAUUUGCUAGUUGGCGGGGUAAAGGCCCACCAAGGCGAGGAUCCGUAGCUGGUCUGAGAGGAGGGUCAGCCACACUGGAACGGAGACACGGUCCAUACUCCUACGGGACGCAGCAGUGUGGAAUAGUGGACAAUGGGCGCAAGCCUGAUCCAGCCAUAGCGCGUGGGUGAAGAAGGCCUUGGGGUUGUAAAGCCCGUUUGUUGGGAAAGAAAAGCAGCAGCUUGAUACCCCGCUGGUCUGACGGUACCCAAUGAAUAAGCACCGGCUAACUUCGUG